AUUGAACGCUGGCGGCAGGCCUAACACAUGCAAGUCGAGCGGAUGAAGGGAGCUUGCUCCUGGAUUCAGCGGCGGACGGGUGAGUAAUGCCUAGGAAUCUGCCUGGUAGUGGGGGAUAACGUCCGGAAACGGGCGCUAAUACCGCAUACGUCCUGAGGGAGAAAGUGGGGGAUCUUCGGACCCCACGCUAUCAGAUGAGCCUAGGUCGGAUUAGCUAGUUGGUGGGGUAAAGGCCUACCAAGGCGACGAUCCGUAACUGGUCUGAGAGGAUGAUCAGUCACACUGGAACUGAGACACGGUCCAGACUCCUAUGGGAGGCAGCAGUGGGGAAUAUUGGACAAUGGGCGAAAGCCUGAUCCAGCCAUGCCGCGUGUGUGAAGAAGGUCUUCGGAUUGUAAAGCACUUUAAGUUGGGAGGAAGGGCAGUAAGUUAAUACCUUGCUGUUUUGACGUUACCAACAGAAUAAGCACCGGCUAACUUCGUG
This 484-nucleotide ribosomal RNA is filed under the name uncultured bacterium. RNAcentral's name for it is "partial 16S ribosomal RNA". It matches the Rfam family "Bacterial small subunit ribosomal RNA", at positions 30 to 507 of the family's 1533-position model. The record is from RNAcentral.